CAGGGAAUCUUGCACAAUGGGCGAAAGCCUGAUGCAGCGACGCCGCGUGGGGGAUGAAGGCCUUAGGGUCGUAAACCCCUUUCAGCAGGGACGAAAAUGACGGUACCUGCAGAAGAAGCCCCGGCCAACUACGUGCCAGCAGCCGCGGUAAGACGUAGGGGGCGAGCGUUGUCCGGAUUUAUUGGGCGUAAAGAGCUCGUAGGCGGUUGCGUAAGUCGGAUGUGAAAACUCAGGGCUCAACCCUGAGACGCCAUCCGAUACUGCGCUGACUUGAAUCCAGUAGGGGAGUGUGGAAUUCCUGGUGUAGCGGUGAAAUGCGCAGAUAUCAGGAGGAACACCCGUGGCGAAGGCGGAUCUCUGGACCGGUUCUGACGCUGAGGAGCGAAAGCUAGGGGGAGCAAACAGGAUUAG
This 411-nucleotide ribosomal RNA is filed under the name uncultured bacterium. RNAcentral describes it as "bacterial SSU rRNA". It matches the Rfam family "Bacterial small subunit ribosomal RNA", at positions 355 to 781 of the family's 1533-position model. The record is from RNAcentral.